AUUGAACGCUGGCGGCAUGCUUUACACAUGCCAGUCGAACGGCAGCGCGGGCUUCGGCCUGGCGGCGAGUGGCGAACGGGUGAGUAAUACAUCGGAACGUGCCCAGUCGUGGGGGAUAGCUCGGCGAAAGCCGGAUUAAUACCGCAUACGACCUGAGGGUGAAAGCGGGGGAUCUUCGGACCUCGCGCUAUUGGAGCGGCCGAUGGCAGAUUAGCUAGUUGGUGGGGUAAAGGCCUACCAAGGCGACGAUCUGUAGCUGGUCUGAGAGGACGACCAGCCACACUGGGACUGAGACACGGCCCAGACUCCUACGGGAGGCAGCAGUGGGGAAUUUUGGACAAUUGGCGAAAGCCUGAUCCAGCAAUGCCGCGUGUGUGAUGAAGGCCUUCGGGUUGUAAAGCACUUUUGGCGGGAACGAAAAGGACUGUGCCAAUACCACGGUUCGAUGACGGUACCCGCAGAAUAAGCACCGGCUAACUACGUG
Molecule: ribosomal RNA, 484 nt
Filed under: uncultured bacterium
Lineage: Bacteria
Description: partial 16S ribosomal RNA
Rfam family: Bacterial small subunit ribosomal RNA
Source: RNAcentral